GCCGGCGUAGCUCAGUUGGUAGAGCAACUGAUUUGUAAUCAGUAGGUCAUCCGUUCGAGUCGGAUCGCUGGCACCA
Molecule: transfer RNA, 76 nt
Filed under: Rhodospirillaceae bacterium
Lineage: Bacteria; Pseudomonadati; Pseudomonadota; Alphaproteobacteria; Rhodospirillales; Rhodospirillaceae
Description: tRNA-Thr
Rfam family: tRNA
About the family: Transfer RNA (tRNA) molecules are approximately 80 nucleotides in length. Their secondary structure includes four short double-helical elements and three loops (D, anti-codon, and T loops).
Source: RNAcentral